AAAGAGGCAUUAUUUUCAUUCGAGGACGUGCCUUCCUCUUUGCCUCCUGCUGUCACUAACAUUUUGCAGGAGUUCGCUGACGUCUUUCCACAAGACGUGCCACCGGGAUUACCGCCUAUUCGAGGGAUUGAGCAUCAGAUUGACUUAAUUCCCGGUGCUUCACUGCCAAACCGUGCACCAUACCGUACCAAUCCAGAGGAGACGAAGGAGAUUAUGCGCCAAGUACAAGAGCUUCUCGACAAAGGUUAUAUACGCGAAUCCCUUAGUCCUUGUGCUGUUCCUAUUAUUCUAGUGCCGAAAAAGGAUGGUACAUCACGUAUGUGUAUUGAUUGUAGAGGCAUUAAUAAUAUUACUAUUCGUUAUCGUCAUCCUAUUCCUAGGCUAGAUGAUAUGCUUGAUGAAUUGAGUGGCUCUACAAUAUUCUCCAAAGUUGAUUUGCGUAGUGGCUACCAUCAAAUUCGUAUGAAAUUGGGAGAUGAAUGGAAAACAGCAUUUAAAACUAAGUUUGGAUUAUAUGAGUGGUUAGUCAUGCCUUUUGGGUUAACUAAUGCACCUAGUACUUUCAUGAGAUUAAUGAACGAAGUUUUACGUGCUUUCAUUGGACGAUUUGUGGUAGUUUACUUUGAUGACAUAUUGAUUUAUAGUAGAUCUUUGGAAGAACAUUUGGAACAUUUACGUGCUGUUUUUAUUGCUCUACAUGAUGCACGUUUGUUUGGUAACCUUGGGAAGUGCACCUUUUGCACCGACCGAGUAUCUUUUCUUGGCUAUGUUGUUACUCCACAGGGAAUUGAAGUUGAUAAAGCCAAGAUUGAAGCUAUUGAGAGUUGGCCGCAGCCCAAAACGGUCACACAAGUGAGGAGUUUUCUUGGCCUCGCUGGAUUCUAUAGGCGUUUUGUGAGAGAUUUCAGCACCAUUGCUGCACCUCUCAAUGAGCUUACAAAGAAAGAUGUGCCUUUUCUUUGGGGUACCGCACAGGAAGAAGCCUUCACGGUAUUGAAAGAUAAGUUGACACAUGCUCCUUUACUCCAACUUCCUGAUUUUAAUAAGACUUUUGAGCUUGAAUGUGAUGCUAGUGGAAUUGGAUUAGGAGGUGUGUUAUUACAAGAUGGCAAACCUGUUGCAUACUUUUCUGAAAAAUUGAGUGGGCCUAGUCUGAAUUAUUCUACUUAUGAGAAAGAAUUAUAUGCUCUUGUUCGGACUUUAGAAACAUGGCAACAUUAUUUAUGGCCCAAAGAAUUUGUUAUACAUUCUGAUCAUGAAUCUUUGAAACAUAUUAAAAGUCAAGCUAAACUGAAUCGUAGACAUGCUAAAUGGGUUGAAUUCAUUGAGACUUUCCCUUAUGUCAUUAAACACAAGAAGGGAAAAGAAAAUGUUAUUGCUGAUGCAUUGUCUCGUCGCUAUACUAUGCUUUCACAACUUGACUUCAAAAUAUUUGGUUUGGAGACUAUCAAAGAUCAAUAUGUGCAUGAUGCUGAUUUUAAAGAUGUAAUGCAGAAUUGUAAAGAAGGAAGAAUGUGGAACAAGUUUGUUGUUAACGAUGGAUUUGUGUUUCGUGCUAACAAGCUAUGCAUUCCAGCUAGCUCCGUUCGUCUUUUGUUGUUGCAGGAGGCGCAUGGAGGAGGAUUAAUGGGACACUUUGGCGUGAAGAAGACGGAGGACGUACUUGCUACACAUUUUUUUUGGCCAAAGAUGAGACGAGAUGUUGAGCGUUUUAUUGCUCGCUGCACUACAUGUCAAAAAGCUAAGUCACGACUCAAUCCUCAUGGUUUAUAUAUGCCUUUGCCUGUACCUAGUGUUCCUUGGGAGGAUAUAUCUAUGGACUUUGUUUUAGGUUUACCUCAAACAAAGAAGGGGAGGGAUAGCAUAUUUGUUGUCGUGGAUAGAUUCUCGAAAAUGGCACACUUUAUACCAUGUCAUAAAAGUGAUGAUGCUGUUAAUGUUGCUGAUUUGUUCUUUCGUGAAAUUAUUCGCUUGCAUGGUGUGCCAAAUACUAUUGUUUCAGAUCGUGAUACUAAAUUUCUUAGCCACUUUUGGAGAUGUUUAUGGGCUAAGUUGGGGACUAAACUGCUUUUUAGUACUACUUGUCACCCCCAAACUGAUGGACAAACUGAAGUAGUCAAUAGAACGUUGUCUACUAUGCUUAGGGCUGUUUUGAAGAAUAAUAAGAAAAUGUGGGAGGAAUGCUUGCCUCAUAUUGAAUUUGCUUAUAAUCGUUCAUUGCAUUCUACUACUAAGAUGUGCCCUUUUGAAGUUGUCUAUGGUUUCCUACCUCGUGCACCUAUUGAUUUGUUGCCUCUUCCAUCUUCGGAGAAGGUUAAUUUUGAUGCUAAACAACGUGCUGAAUUGAUUUUAAAAAUGCAUGAGUUAACUAAGGAAAACAUUGAGCGCAUGAAUGCUAAAUAUAAACUUGCUGGAGAUAAGGGUAGAAAACAUGUUGUGUUUGCACCUGGAGAUCUUGUUUGGUUACAUUUGCGUAAGGAUAGAUUUCCUGAUUUGCGCAAAUCAAAGUUAAUGCCACGUGCUGAUGGUCCCUUUAAGGUGUUAGAGAAAAUAAAUGAUAAUGCAUAUAAACUUGAGCUGCCUGCAGAUUUUGGGGUUAGUCCCACUUUUAACAUUGCAGAUUUGAAGCCUUAUUUGGGUGAGGAAGAU
This 2649-nucleotide ribosomal RNA is filed under the name Triticum aestivum (bread wheat). RNAcentral's name for it is "partial small subunit ribosomal RNA". Lineage: Eukaryota; Viridiplantae; Streptophyta; Magnoliopsida; Poales; Poaceae. The record is from RNAcentral.